UUAAGCAUAUCAAUAAGCGGAGGAAAAGAAACUAACAAGGAUUCCCCUAGUAACUGCGAGUGAACCGGGAAAAGCUCAAAUUUUGAAUCUGGCGGUCUUUUAGGCCGUCCGAGUUGUAAUCUAGAGAAGUGUUUUCCGCGCUGGACCGUGUAUAAGUUUCCUGGAAUGGAACGUCGUAGAGGGUGAGAAUCCCGUCUUUGACACGGACUACCAGGGCUAUGUGAUGCGCUCUCGACGAGUCGAGUUGUUUGGGAAUGCAGCUCAAAUUGGGUGGUAAAUUCCAUCUAAAGCUAAAUAUAGGCGAGAGACCGAUAGCGAACAAGUACCGUGAGGGAAAGAUGAAAAGAACUUUGGAAAGAGAGUUAAACAGUACGUGAAAUUGCUGAAAGGGAAACGCUUGAUGUCAGUCGCGUUCGCCGGGGAUCAGCCUUGCUUAAUCGCUCGGCGUACUUCCUGGUGGACGGGUCAGCAUCAGUUUUGACCGUCGGAAAAUGGCAAGAGGAAUGUGGCAUUCUUUCGGGAGUGUGUUAUAGACUCGAGUCGAAUACGAUGAUUGGGACUGAGGAACUCAGCACGACCUUAGGGUUCGAGACUUCGGUCUACGUUUGCGUGCUUAGGAUGCUGGCAUAAUGGCCUUAAGCGACCCGUCUUGAAACACGGACCAAGGAGUCUAACGUGCAU
This 681-nucleotide ribosomal RNA is filed under the name Rhizopogon sp. Its description in RNAcentral is "LSU rRNA". It matches the Rfam family "Eukaryotic large subunit ribosomal RNA", at positions 34 to 685 of the family's 3401-position model. The record is from RNAcentral. Lineage: Eukaryota; Fungi; Basidiomycota; Agaricomycetes; Boletales; Rhizopogonaceae.